UGGGACUUAGCUCAGUGGUAGAGCAUUUGACUAACAUUAGAGAUCUGGGUUCAAUUCCCAGUACCAA
This 67-nucleotide transfer RNA is filed under the name Ictidomys tridecemlineatus (thirteen-lined ground squirrel). Its description in RNAcentral is "Spermophilus tridecemlineatus (thirteen-lined ground squirrel) tRNA". It matches the Rfam family "tRNA". Rfam says of the family: Transfer RNA (tRNA) molecules are approximately 80 nucleotides in length. Their secondary structure includes four short double-helical elements and three loops (D, anti-codon, and T loops). Lineage: Eukaryota; Metazoa; Chordata; Mammalia; Rodentia; Sciuridae. The record is from Rfam by way of RNAcentral.